This 655-nucleotide ribosomal RNA is filed under the name uncultured fungus. Its description in RNAcentral is "eukaryotic LSU rRNA". It matches the Rfam family "Eukaryotic large subunit ribosomal RNA", at positions 24 to 664 of the family's 3401-position model. Lineage: Eukaryota; Fungi. The record is from RNAcentral.
CCCGCUGAACUUAAGCAUAUCAAUAAGCGGAGGAAAAGAAACUAACAAGGAUUCCCCUAGUAACUGCGAGUGAAGCGGGAAAAGCUCAAAUUUAAAAUCUGGCGGUCUUUGGCCGUCCGAGUUGUAGUUUAGAGAAGCGCCUUCCGUGCUGGACCGUGUACAAGUCUCCUGGAACGGAGCGUCGUAGAGGGUGAGAAUCCCGUCUUUGACACGGACUACCAGUGCUCUGUGAUGUGCUCUCGAAGAGUCGAGUUGUUUGGGAAUGCAGCUCAAAAUGGGUGGUGAACUCCAUCUAAAGCUAAAUAUUGGCGAGAGACCGAUAGCGAACAAGUACCGUGAGGGAAAGAUGAAAAGCACUUUGGAAAGAGAGUGAAACAGUACGUGAAAUUGCUGAAAGGGAAACGCUUGAAGUCAGUCGCGUUUGCCGGGACUCAGCCCCACCUCGGUAGGGUGUACUUCCUGGUAGACGGGCCAGCAUCACUUUUCUUCGCUGGAUAAGGGCAGGAGGAAGGUGGCCCCUUCGGGGGUGUUAUAGCCUCUUGUCGGAUGCAGUGGAGGGGAGUGAGGCUCUCAGCGCGCCUUUGGUCGGGGUUCGCCUACGAUCGCGCUUAGGAUGCUGGCGUAAUGGCUUUAAACGACCCGUCUUGAAACACGG